Non-coding RNA from Diplogelasinospora grovesii, 85 nucleotides. The record is from the annotation of a GenBank genome assembly. NCBI's taxonomy places the organism in Eukaryota, Fungi, Ascomycota, Sordariomycetes, Sordariales, Diplogelasinosporaceae.
GCCCCGGUGGUGUAUCGGUUAACAUAACCAGUCUCAACAAGUGUUCGGGAGCCGGUGGCGCAGGGUUCGACUCCCUGUCGGGGUA